This 759-nucleotide ribosomal RNA is filed under the name uncultured soil bacterium. Its description in RNAcentral is "bacterial SSU rRNA". It matches the Rfam family "Bacterial small subunit ribosomal RNA", at positions 31 to 768 of the family's 1533-position model. The record is from RNAcentral.
CAACGCUGGCGGCGUGCCUAACACAUGCAAGUCGAGCGCGAAAGGGGGGGCAACUCCCCGAGUAGAGCGGCGAACGGGUGAGUAACGCGUGGGUAAUCUACCUCCGAGUGGGGAAUAACAGCGGGAAACUGCUGCUAAUACCGCAUGACAUCGUCGAGCCUUCGGGCCUGACGAUCAAAGCCGGGGACCGCAAGGCCUGGCGCUUGGAGAGGAGCCCGCGUCCGAUUAGCUAGUUGGCGGGGUAAUGGCCCACCAAGGCUCCGAUCGGUAGCCGGCCUGAGAGGGCGGACGGCCACACUGGGACUGAGACACGGCCCAGACUCCUACGGGAGGCAGCAGUGGGGAAUUUUUCGCAAUGGGGGAAACCCUGACGAAGCAACGCCGCGUGGAGGACGAAGGCCUUCGGGUUGUAAACCGCUUUCAGGAGGGACGAAGCCACUCGGGUUAAUAGCCCAGAGGGUGACGGUACCUCCAGAAGAAGCCCCGGCUAACUACGUGCCAGCAGCCGCGGUAAUACGUAGGGGGCAAGCGUUGUCCGGAUUUAUUGGGCGUAAAGAGCGUGUAGGCGGCCAGACAGGUCCGUUGUGAAAACUCGAGGCUCAACCUCGAGACGUCGACGGAAACCGUCUGGCUAGAGUCCGGAAGAGGAGUGUGGAAUUCCUGGUGUAGCGGUGAAAUGCGCAGAUAUCAGGAAGAACACCUAUGGCGAAGGCAGCACUCUGGGACGGUACUGACGCUGAGACGCGAAAGCGUGGGGAG